GGAGGGUGCAAGCGUUAUUCGGAUUUACUGGGCGUAAAGCGCGCGUAGGCGGUCUAUUAAGUCUGGUGUGAAAGCCCGGGGCUCAACCCCGGAAGUGCACUGGAUACUGUUAGACUGGAGUACUGGAGAGGAGAGCGGAAUUCCUGGUGUAGAGGUGAAAUUCGUAGAUAUCAGGAGGAACAUCGGUGGCGAAGGCGGCUCUCUGGACAGUGACUGACGCUGAGGCGCGAAAGCGUGGGGUAGCAAACAGGAUUAGAUACCCUGGUAGUCCACGCCGUAAACGAUGAACACUAGGUGUCGGGGGGAUCUUACCCCUUCGGUGCCGCGGCUAACGCAUUAAGUGUUCCGCCUGGGGAUUACGGCCGCAAGGUUA
RNAcentral lists this ribosomal RNA (373 nucleotides) under uncultured organism. RNAcentral's name for it is "partial 16S ribosomal RNA". It matches the Rfam family "Bacterial small subunit ribosomal RNA", at positions 527 to 896 of the family's 1533-position model. The record is from RNAcentral.